UCAGGCAUUGCUGAUGAGCGCUUAUCUCACAGCGCUCGCAACUGCCUAAUGUCAUUUAGAGCCUUUGACCACGGAUGUACUGGCACUGAGUUUAAAUGACGAACUGAAGGUCGGUGCAGAGUUGCCCCGGCCUUUUUU
This 138-nucleotide small RNA is filed under the name Paenochrobactrum gallinarii. RNAcentral describes it as "Alphaproteobacterial sRNA ar35". It matches the Rfam family "Alphaproteobacterial sRNA ar35". The record is from Rfam by way of RNAcentral. Lineage: Bacteria; Pseudomonadati; Pseudomonadota; Alphaproteobacteria; Hyphomicrobiales; Brucellaceae.